UGUCUUUGAGGGAUGCACUUAAGCUCAGCCAAGAUGAUCCCAUGCCUACACUCCUUGAAGAAUCAAACUCUGAUUGUCAGACCUUAAAUCUAGUAAACUGUGGCUUGCCUCAACCAAGUAACAUUAUAUCCGAUGCUGAUUUAGAGUGCAGAAAUCAGAGUGCUAACAUGGCUGCCGAUCAGACAGUAAAGGAAUGGCAAAGCGUUUCGGUUUCUGUUCCUAUUAAGGUAACUAUCAAUGAUAUUAUUGUGUUAAGUGACAGUGAUGAAGAAGAUGUGAACAUUGAAGUCACUUCAUCAGGAAGAAAGGAAGUGAAGAGUCCUGAUAUUAAUAUUUGGCAUUGUUCGGGUGUUUAUGGUAGUGGAACAAGAAGGCCUGUUUCAUUUUCUGCACUCAAACGAUGGAGUGAAUCUGAAUUCGAUUCCUCAUCUUCUCACUUAGAGUUCAAGGUAUGGAAGACAUGUGAGAGCGAAAGAGAGACAAUGUCUUUGAGGGAUGCACUUAAGCUCAGCAAAGAUGAUCUCAUGCCUACACUCCUUGAAGAAUCAAACUCUGAUUGUCAGACCUUAAAUCCAGCAAACUGUGGCUUGCCUCAACCAAGUAACAUUAUAUCCGAUGCUGAUGUAGAGUGCAGAAAUCAGAGUGCUAACAUGGCUGCCGAUCAGACAGUAAAGGAAUGGCAAAGCGUUUC
This 691-nucleotide long non-coding RNA is filed under the name Trifolium pratense (red clover). RNAcentral's name for it is "long non-coding RNA (TPRA_LNC007295)". Lineage: Eukaryota; Viridiplantae; Streptophyta; Magnoliopsida; Fabales; Fabaceae. The record is from RNAcentral.